GCCCAGAUGGGAUUAGCUAGUAGGUGGGGUAAAGGCUCACCUAGGCGACGAUCCCUAGCUGGUCUGAGAGGAUGACCAGCCACACUGGAACUGAGACACGGUCCAGACUCCUACGGGAGGCAGCAGUGGGGAAUAUUGCACAAUGGGCGCAAGCCUGAUGCAGCCAUGCCGCGUGUAUGAAGAAGGCCUUCGGGUUGUAAAGUACUUUCAGCGGGGAGGAAGGGAGUAAAGUUAAUACCUUUGCUCAUUGACGUUACCCGCAGAAGAAGCACCGGCUAACUCCGUGCCAGCAGCCGCGGUAAUACGGAGGGUGCAAGCGUUAAUCGGAAUUACUGGGCGUAAAGCGCACGCAGGCGGUUUGUUAAGUCAGAUGUGAAAUCCCCGGGCUCAACCUGGGAACUGCAUCUGAUACUGGCAAGCUUGAGUCUCGUAGAGGGGGGUAGAAUUCCAGGUGUAGCGGUGAAAUGCGUAGAGAUCUGGAGGAAUACCGGUGGC
RNAcentral lists this ribosomal RNA (495 nucleotides) under Escherichia coli. RNAcentral describes it as "bacterial SSU rRNA". It matches the Rfam family "Bacterial small subunit ribosomal RNA", at positions 229 to 716 of the family's 1533-position model. Lineage: Bacteria; Pseudomonadati; Pseudomonadota; Gammaproteobacteria; Enterobacterales; Enterobacteriaceae. The record is from RNAcentral.